GACAGAGGGUGCAAACGUUGCUCGGAUUUACUGGGCGUAAAGCGCGUGUAGGCGGCUUUGCAAGUCGGAUGUGAAAUCCCACGGCUCAACCGUGGAAGUGCAUCCGAAACUGCAUCGCUGGAGUCUCGGAGAGGAAGGUGGAAUGCUUGGUGUAGAGGUGAAAUUCGUAGAUAUCAAGCAGAACACCUGCGGCGAAGGCGGCCUUCUGGACGAUGACUGACGCUGAGACGCGAAAGCGUGGGGAGCAAACAGG
This 253-nucleotide ribosomal RNA is filed under the name uncultured bacterium. RNAcentral's name for it is "partial 16S ribosomal RNA". It matches the Rfam family "Bacterial small subunit ribosomal RNA", at positions 524 to 776 of the family's 1533-position model. The record is from RNAcentral.